UUUCGCAAUGCCCGAAAGGGUGACGAAGCGACGCCGCGUGUGGGAAGAAGGCCUUCGGGUUGUAAACCACUGUCGGGAGUUAGGAAAUGUAGGAGCGUUAAUAGCGCACCUGCUUGACUAAGGCUCCAAAGGAAGCCACGGCUAACUCUGUGCCAGCAGCCGCGGUAAUACAGAGGCGGCAAGCGUUGUUCGGAAUUAUUGGGCGUAAAGAGCACGUAGGCGGCCUUGUAAGUCAGUUGUGAAAGCUUCCGCUUAACGGGAGAACGGCAUCUGAUACUACAGGGCUUGAGUACGGGAGGGGAGAGUGGAACUUCUGGUGGAGCGGUGAAAUGCGUAGAUAUCAGAAGGAACGCCGGCGGCGAAAACGACUCUCUGGCCCGAAACUGACGCUGAGUGUGCGAAAGCUAGGGGAGCAAACGGGAUUAGAUACCCCGGUAGUCCUAGCCGUAAACGAUGGGCACUAAGUAGAGGGGUUUU
This 477-nucleotide ribosomal RNA is filed under the name uncultured Planctomycetales bacterium. RNAcentral describes it as "bacterial SSU rRNA". It matches the Rfam family "Bacterial small subunit ribosomal RNA", at positions 364 to 832 of the family's 1533-position model. Lineage: Bacteria; Pseudomonadati; Planctomycetota; Planctomycetia; Planctomycetales. The record is from RNAcentral.